RNAcentral lists this long non-coding RNA (330 nucleotides) under Lathyrus oleraceus (garden pea). RNAcentral describes it as "Pisum sativum (pea) long non-coding RNA (PSAT_LNC035487)". Lineage: Eukaryota; Viridiplantae; Streptophyta; Magnoliopsida; Fabales; Fabaceae. The record is from RNAcentral.
CGCUAGGCGAGGCAGUAGCGAGCUGAUUCGCUAGCUGCUCGCUAGGCGAAGCAGCAGCGAGCGCUGCAUGACAGCACUUAUUAAAAAUCUCAGCAGGGCACUCAUUUUGGCCCAAACACAACUUUUCUGUUUUUCAACUCUGCUGAGGAAAAUUUUAACCGAGCACUCUCCACACUCUCUCAUUUUCAUCUCUCUCACUAACACUUUAUCCCUAUUUGGAAGAUUGCAAACCCUACUCCACUUCACAUUUCAAUCAAUCCGUGUAACUAAGGUUUGCCCUACUACAUUUUCUGUAUGUUUGAACUCUGUUAUUUCCGAUUUGGAUGUCAA